UCUGCACAUUUAGGGUGUGGCCAAGCCUCAUU
This 32-nucleotide non-coding RNA is filed under the name Homo sapiens (human). The record is from RNAcentral. Lineage: Eukaryota; Metazoa; Chordata; Mammalia; Primates; Hominidae.